AACUCUGCCAUGGCCUCUAAGUCAUUAACUCCAGCUACAGUUAACCUACGGGAACCAGGCCGAGCUUCAUGACUGGCCACUUCGGUCAUCCUUUUACACGAGUCCGGUGUAGAUGUGGCAACAGCUAGCGUGGUGGGACAUUCACACUGCUCUGCUCGUCUGUGUGGCCUGCUCUCCUCCAGUGCUCACGGCUCCAAAGAAGGAUCUUUGAACGUGACAUGUUUUGGGUUGUCCCAGUGUACUCUCCUUAGGAUCGUGCUGCGUCAGUAGAAAGUCAACUUGACCUGGGCCACAGUGGCCUGGCGAUCAGGGGCCUUGGGCCUCUCUGGACUACAUUUUCGCCACAUGGAAUUGUAAGGAGUUUUGAUUAGAUCGUCCAUGGCUCUGCUCUAAGUAGUAAAGUAAGAAUUGUUCACCGUCUUCUUCUCUGUAUCCCUGGCCUCCAAAACGCAGCCUGUACCUGGGCCAGGGACAAGAGACCCCCUAGGAGCAAGAUGAGGACCACAACACCAAUGGAGCCAGAAACAGCUCCUGCUGUGCCGAAGCUGAGGAGAGCAAAUAAGAGAAAGGAGGACACUCCAGCUGCCCUGUCUGGCUUUGGUGGUGACCAUCCACACAAUCGCCCUGGGGCCUCCCCUCUCCGGGAUGGAGACCCCAAACUCAUCCCCUCUCCAGCCACAUCGAUCCCUGGAUUUUUGGAGUUAGAAGGAAUCUUAAAACAUAUCUAGCCAAACUCUCCUGCUGUACAGGUGAGGACACUUAGGGAAAGCCACGUGCCCCAGGUAAGUGCUGAAUCCAGGACCUGAGUCCAUGUUUUCAACUCCAACCCCAACGCUCUCUCCCCUCACACCCAGGCCUCUUCCUGUUUCUUCCCCCAGAGCAUGGAGCUGCAUGAUUCAACCCCUCAGAGCAGGCAGCACCUCUCCACACCCAUGUUUGGGGACCUGCUACUCAGACACCCAAAAGCAAAGAUUGCUGCCAAGGUGGGGUGAAGGGAACCAAAGCAGUUUGACAGCUGUUCAUGUAGAAAAUAAUACAACAGUUAAUAAAUAAUCAUACAAGAAUAAACUAUUUCGAGUACUAACAACUGUAAACCUACUUUUGCCACACGGGAUCCCUAGGGCAAUCUGCCAAGAAAUAGCCUUCAGAGGUGGGAGCAGCAAGAAUCACAGCCUCCUGCGGCACCAAAGCCAAACGGCAUUGUGUCAGGCACCCACUGGCACACUUCCUCUCUGCCUCUUUCCUGUCCCCCUUCUGAGUAAGUUGGCUGACCUCACGACAUUUCUCUUCGACAGCUCCUGCCCACCUUCUGGGUGAGGGGUAGGGAGGGACCUUGGAAACCAGAUCAACCCAGU
Myotis myotis is the source of this 1355-nucleotide long non-coding RNA. RefSeq lists it as uncharacterized. Lineage: Eukaryota; Metazoa; Chordata; Mammalia; Chiroptera; Vespertilionidae. The transcript has 3 exons. The record is from RefSeq and is a predicted model, not a curated record.